AUGUGUAGUGAGGCAUUACCAUGUAGAAAGCACAAUAUUGUCAACGAAAACUCACUGCUCACAUAGAAGAGUCCUUGCGUUGUACAUAGACACAAUAAAUUCGAAACUACUAAAUGAUAUCUUAAUUUAUCCUAGUAAAGAUGAUAAAUGAUAUAGGGAAAACAGAUAACAGGAAGGAAGAUGAAGACCAUAUGGCACACUUGCCAGCAUUAAUGGUAUGAUUCCAUUUUAUUCCCUUAAGGAACUGAAGGAGGACACAGAGAAUUCAGUAUAAAAACACUAGGCAGAAAUUGAUCAACACAGAAGACUGAGAAGACACUGUAUAAAAAUAUCUUGAUUACUGAUUCCCAACCAAUAUGAAAACUUCUGAUAGACAGGAAGAGGAAGUCAUAUCCCUGGAAACUUGAAUCAUGAACAGUGAUGAUCUAUCCAAGAGAUUAGUGCCUCUCUCAGCCCCCCAAAGAGAAGCUUCUAUCUGCAGUAGAUGAUGAUAACAUGGAGACCACAACUGGAUAAGGUACAGAGAACAAGC
Peromyscus leucopus (white-footed mouse) is the source of this 532-nucleotide long non-coding RNA. RefSeq lists it as uncharacterized. The transcript is spliced from 3 exons. Lineage: Eukaryota; Metazoa; Chordata; Mammalia; Rodentia; Cricetidae. The record is from RefSeq and is a predicted model, not a curated record.